AUGCAUGGGGGCUUUGGCUAUGGCAUCAGGAAUCAAGAAGGAGAAGAUGUCUUAAGCUUCGCUCUAGCCUACGACAUGAUCAUAGCUAACACCCUCUUUAAAAAGAGAGGAUCACAUCUAGUGACUUUUGGUAGUGAUCGACACUCUAGUCAGAUUUAUUUCAUCCUCUCGAGAAGAGAAGAUAGGCGUGCGUGCCUAGACGGUAAGGUGAUACCUGGAGAGAGUGUUGUCCCUCAACAUAAGUUGUUCAAUGGGGAGAAUGAUAGUUCUACCAUUGAACUAGACGACUCCUUUGAUGAUACCAGCAAGCGUUUUGUGCGGCGAAUCCAGGAGUCUGAGGUCAAGGAGGCUUUAAAAGGGAUGAAAGGAGGAAAGGCGAUGGGCCCUGAUUGUAUCCCCAUUGAGGUGUGGAGAGGCCUCGGGGAUAUAGCGAUAGUAUGGCUAACUAAGCAUUCCAACCUCAUUUUUCAGGCAAACAAAUGCCAGAAGGAUGGAGAUGGAGUAUAUUAG
Molecule: ribosomal RNA, 510 nt
Filed under: Triticum aestivum (bread wheat)
Lineage: Eukaryota; Viridiplantae; Streptophyta; Magnoliopsida; Poales; Poaceae
Description: partial small subunit ribosomal RNA
Source: RNAcentral